GUCUCAUCCCACUUGUACGGGGGAGUUGUAAAAGAAAGGAUCAUUAAUUUGGUUCUCUCCUUAUAGCUCUCCAAAGAGAGGGUAAGACGUUACAAGAACGAUCUUUGCCUUAUAACAUACCCUUCUUUUAAAAAUGUUUAUGAACGUCAAACAAUGUAGGCUCGCCUUAAAAACGUGUAGCUGAAAUUAUAAAAUUAUACAACUUUUAACAACGGAUCUCUUGGCUCUCGCAUCGAUGAAGAACGCAGCGAAAUGCGAUAAGUAAUGUGAAUUGCAGAAUUCAGUGAAUCAUCGAAUCUUUGAACGCACCUUGCGCUCCCUGGUAUUCCGGGGAGCAUGCCUGUUUGAGUGUCAUUAAAUUCUCAACCUCGAAUCGUUUGUUUACAGACUUUACGAGGCUUGGACUUUGGAGUGUGCCGGUCUCUAACGGGAUCGACUCCUCUUUAAAUGCAUUAGCUGGAACCUCCUGUGGACCAGACUACGGUGUGAUAAUUAUCUACGCUGUUGGUCUUGUGAAGCA
Molecule: ribosomal RNA, 520 nt
Filed under: Typhula ishikariensis
Lineage: Eukaryota; Fungi; Basidiomycota; Agaricomycetes; Agaricales; Typhulaceae
Description: eukaryotic LSU rRNA
Rfam family: 5.8S ribosomal RNA (bases 201-354)
Source: RNAcentral